This 1494-nucleotide ribosomal RNA is filed under the name uncultured prokaryote. RNAcentral's name for it is "partial 16S ribosomal RNA". It matches the Rfam family "Bacterial small subunit ribosomal RNA". The record is from RNAcentral.
UGAGUUUGAUCAUGGCUCAGAGUGAACGCUGGCGGCAGGCCUAACACAUGCAAGUCGAGCGGCAGCGCGGGGGCAACCCUGGCGGCGAGCGGCGGACGGGUGAGGAAUGCAUCGGAAUCUACCUCGUUGUGGGGGAUAACCUCGGGAAACCGGGACUAAUACCGCAUACGACCUACGGGAAAGGUUGCCUCUUCAUGAAAGCAAUCGCUAUUGGAUGAGCUUAUGUCAGAUUAGCUAGUUGGUAAGGUAAGAGCUUACCAAGGCGACGAUCUGUAGCCGGCCUGAGAGGGUGGACGGCCACACUGGGACUGAGACACGGCCCAGACUCCUACGGGAGGCAGCAGUAGGGAAUAUUGGACAAUGGGCGCAAGCCUGAUCCAGCAAUGCCGCGUGUGUGAAGAAGGCCUGCGGGUUGUAAAGCACUUUCAGCAAGGAAGAAAUGCUUAGGGUUAAUAGCCUUGAGAGUUGACGUUACUUGCAGAAGAAGCACCGGCUAACUCUGUGCCAGCAGCCGCGGUAAUACAGAGGGUGCGAGCGUUAAUCGGAAUUACUGGGCGUAAAGCGUGCGUAGGCGGCUAUUUAAGUCUGAUGUGAAAUCCCCGUGCUUAACAUGGGAAUUGCAUCGGAUACUGGGUAGCUAGAGUAUGGUAGAGGAGAGUGGAAUUUCUAGUGUAGCGGUGAAAUGCGUAGAUAUUAGAAGGAACACCAGUGGCGAAGGCGACUCUCUGGACUAUUACUGACGCUGAGGCACGAAAGCGUGGGGAGCGAACAGGAUUAGAUACCCUGGUAGUCCACGCCGUAAACGAUGUUCACUCGCUGUUUGCAAUACACAGUAAGCGGCUUAGCGAAAGCAUUAAGUGAACCACCUGGGGAGUACGAUCGCAAGGUUGAAACUCAAAGGAAUUGACGGGGGCCCGCACAAGCGGUGGAACAUGUGGUUUAAUUCGAUGAUACGCGAGGAACCUUACCUGGGCUUAAAUGUAGAUUGCAUAACUUAGAAAUAGGUUUUCCCUUCGGGGCUAUUUACAAGGUGCUGCAUGGUUGUCGUCAGCUCGUGCCGUGAGGUGUCGGGUUAAGUCCCAUAACGAGCGCAACCCCUAUCGUUAGUUGCUAGCAGGUAAUGCUGAGGACUCUAGCGAGACUGCCACCGUAAGGUGAGAGGAAGGUGGGGAUGACGUCAAAUCAGCACGGCCCUUAUGUCCAGGGCUACACACGUGUUACAAUGGCCGGUACAAAGGGCAGCUACACAGCGAUGUGAUGCUAAUCUCUAAAGCCGGUCCCAGUUCGGAUUGGAGUCUGCAACCCGACUCCAUGAAGUUGGAAUCGCUAGUAAUCGGAUAUCAGCAACGAUCCGGUGAAUACGUUCCCGGGCCUUGUACACACCGCCCGUCAAACCAUGGAAGUUGGUUGCUCCAGAAGUAGGUAGUCUAACCGCAAGGGGGACGCUUACCACGGAGUGGUCAAUGACUGGGGUGAAGUCGUAAACAAGGCACC